UACAGAGGUCUCGAGCGUUGUUCGGAUUCAUUGGGCGUAAAGGGUGCGUAGGUGGCGCCGUAAGUCGGGUGUGAAAUUUCGGAGCUUAACUCCGAAACUGCAUUCGAUACUGCGGUGCUUGAGGACUGGAGAGGAGACUGGAAUUCAUGGUGUAGCAGUGAAAUGCGUAGAGAUCGUGAGGAAGACCAGUGGCGAAGGCGGGUCUCUGGACAGUUCCUGACGCUGAGGCACGAAGGUCAGGGGAGCAAACAGG
RNAcentral lists this ribosomal RNA (253 nucleotides) under uncultured bacterium. RNAcentral's name for it is "partial 16S ribosomal RNA". It matches the Rfam family "Bacterial small subunit ribosomal RNA", at positions 524 to 776 of the family's 1533-position model. The record is from RNAcentral.